Molecule: long non-coding RNA, 492 nt
Filed under: Calidris pygmaea (Spoon-billed sandpiper)
Lineage: Eukaryota; Metazoa; Chordata; Aves; Charadriiformes; Scolopacidae
Description: lncRNA (ENSCPGG00000015848.1)
Source: RNAcentral
UUUUCAGAAUAGAGUACUAUCGGUGGCUGCGUUUAAGCAACAGACCAUUAUGUCAUCUUGCUUCAUAUAUUUUACUCUGAUCUUUUUUAGGAUGAAGCUCAUUUGAGAAAUCUUUCCUCUGCCUUUGGGGAGAAAUAAUUUGCCUCCUUCCACAAGAUCAGCAUGGUGGAUUUUAUGGUGGAUUUCUACAGCUGAGGGACAACUGCCUGUGAGUUUCCAGGUCAUGUAACCUUGCUCACUGUUGUGGAAAGCCUGAGGAGCUCCACGAGGGGUUUAAAAGAGAGAUCUUCCUCUCCUGUUCAGGUUACUUUAAUCUAUAAUAUCAGCAAUAAUCACUGUGGUAUUGUUGCCUAGGCAUUCUUGAAGAGUCAGAAGUGGACUGUAAUUGAAGAGUUCAUUACCAAGAUCAGUUGGCUCCUUGAUUACAGUGGCAAGGUGAAAUAUAUAUCCUCACCAAAAAGCAACUGCUAAACCUUUAGAGAAGUCACCCAC